Molecule: ribosomal RNA, 253 nt
Filed under: uncultured bacterium
Lineage: Bacteria
Description: partial 16S ribosomal RNA
Rfam family: Bacterial small subunit ribosomal RNA
Source: RNAcentral
UACGUAGGGGGCAAGCGUUGUCCGGAUUCAUUGGGCGUAAAGAGCGUGUAGGCGGCCAGAAAAGUCCGCUGUGAAAACUCGAGGCUCAACUUCGAGCUGUCGGUGGAAACUUUCUGGCUAGAGUCCGGAAGAGGAGAAUGGAAUUCCUGGUGUAGCGGUGAAAUGCGCAGAUAUCAGGAAGAACACCCGUGGCGAAGGCGGUUCUCUGGGACGAUACUGACGCUGAGACGCGAAAGCGUGGGGAGCGAACAGG